This 253-nucleotide ribosomal RNA is filed under the name uncultured bacterium. Its description in RNAcentral is "partial 16S ribosomal RNA". It matches the Rfam family "Bacterial small subunit ribosomal RNA", at positions 524 to 776 of the family's 1533-position model. The record is from RNAcentral.
AACGUAGGUGGCAAGCGUUAUCCGGAUUUACUGGGCGUAAAGGGUGUGCAGGCGGGGUUGCAAGUGGUGUAUGAAAUCUCCCGGCUUAACCGGGAGGGGUUAUGCCAGACUGCAAUUCUAGAGGACGAGAGAGGGGGGUGGAAUUCCUGGUGUAGCGGUGAAAUGCGCAGAUAUCAGGAAGAACACCCGUGGCGAAGGCGGCUCUCUGGGACGGAACUGACGCUGAGGCGCGAAAGCGUGGGGAGCGAACAGG